This 73-nucleotide transfer RNA is filed under the name Acidimicrobiia bacterium. It matches the Rfam family "tRNA". From Rfam's summary of the family: Transfer RNA (tRNA) molecules are approximately 80 nucleotides in length. Their secondary structure includes four short double-helical elements and three loops (D, anti-codon, and T loops). The record is from Rfam by way of RNAcentral. Lineage: Bacteria; Bacillati; Actinomycetota; Acidimicrobiia.
GCCCGAGUAGCUCAGGGGAUAGAGCAACUGCCUCCUAAGCAGUAGGUCGCAGGUUCGAAUCCUGCCUCGGGCG